UACGUAGGGACCAAGCGUUGUUCGGAUCUACUGGGCGUAAAGGGCGCGUAGGCGGCGCGGUAAGUCACUUGUGAAAUCUCUGAGCUUAACUCAGAACGGCCAAGUGAUACUGCAGUGCUAGAGUGUGGAAGGGGCAAUCGGAAUUCUUGGUGUAGCGGUGAAAUGCGUAGAUAUCAAGAGGAACACCUGAGGUGAAGACGGGUUGCUGGGCCAACACUGACGCUGAUGCGCGAAAGCCAGGGGAGCAAACGGG
This 253-nucleotide ribosomal RNA is filed under the name uncultured bacterium. Its description in RNAcentral is "partial 16S ribosomal RNA". It matches the Rfam family "Bacterial small subunit ribosomal RNA", at positions 524 to 776 of the family's 1533-position model. The record is from RNAcentral.